Molecule: long non-coding RNA, 472 nt
Organism: Penaeus monodon (black tiger shrimp)
Lineage: Eukaryota; Metazoa; Arthropoda; Malacostraca; Decapoda; Penaeidae
Exons: 3
Source: RefSeq, a predicted model, not a curated record
ACCAAACUACCAUUGAAUCCUCCACCUCAACCUGAAAGCCCCAGAAACCACAGGGCAUAAAUGGAAAUCCAGAUCACCAUACCCACCAAUGAACUCCUUUCAACUUCACCUCCUUCUCCAACCACCUUUUGGGGUCGAGGUCCUGAAGACUGCAGUGUUUGUGUGUGUGGUCGAAACCCAGUGAAGAGGAACUGCGACUCUCUCUCCCAUGGUUUUUCUUUUUUCCCUUUUCGUUUCCAACAAUUCUUUUUUCCCCUCCCACCCUUUAUCUUGAGCUUCUCCGACUGGCCCCCCUUUCCACUUUUCUUCCUCUCUUCUCUUGUUUACUGCAACCCCUGAAUCCUGUUCCUGCUCUGCAAACCCCCAAGACACUCACACCAACACAACUGUUUCCUGGAAGGAAAAAAAUGAACACACAAAGCAAUAUUUGGCCUCUUUGGUUGCCGACAUGUCUCCUGCUGUGUCCAUGUAA